UUGAGAUUUGGACUGGUUUUUUUGUUUGUUUGUUGUUUUCUUUUCUUUUUCUUCUGUGGGUAGGCCGCAAGAGCGGAAACUGUCAAAUCUGGCAACCCACCAACGGCGCCAUGUUUGUGUGAGGCGCAUGCGCCAUGUUGGAUAGAAAUUUGGCGCAUUUACCACGUCAUUGUUUUAAUUAAGGCGCGGCUUGCACCUGGCCGCCCGAAGACAUGAAACCAGCCUUCUGCUAUUCAUCCAUCCUGGCACUUGGAUUACAAAAUGGUCUUUUCUGAUCUCAAAAGACCAUCCUAACCUAAACGACUCAAAACGUUUGCAGAUCGACUAGAAAUUGUCUCCGUAUUGAUGGAGCCUACCUGCUGAGGGAUAAGCUAGGGUAGGUAGGCCGCAAGAGCGCCAUGUUUGAAAUGUGGUACAUGGACUAAGACGGUUGCUGAUCAGCAGUUUUUGUUGAGAUGGAGACUCUGAAGAUACCAGAUGGUGUUAGACUGGUGGGAAAUAUGGAUGUCAAGAUGGCUGCGAUGGCACUGGACUAUGAACCCAAUCCCAGGAAGUGUGCUUUGCUACUUCCUGUAGCCACUCCUCAAGGCUUGAAGUCGUCGGAUAAGUUCAUGGACGUUGGUAGCAAACGAGUACAAUGAAGUCAUCGGAUGAGUUCAAGGAAUUUGGUAACAAAGGUAGGUGUUUUGGUCUUGGGUACAGCAACCAGAACUUUGAUUCGCUCAACGCAAGAAAAACACGGAAUCCUGGAUCAUCUUGUCUCCGAUUUCGCCCUUUAUCGACCCUCCAUUUAUGGAAGGAAAAGCCCUUCGCCACCCUGCUGAUGGACGACCUUAGUGACCUCUGUGACCUUACCACUGGACUCAGCAAGUUUUCUGGAGGAAAACCAGGAAGUGUUCCCAGGUGAGCAGCUUCAGGACGAAAACUGAUCCUGUCUGCAUAAACCUAAUGAACGGUUGAAGGUCAUAUGUAGGGUUUUGGUUUUUAGGAUUAUUUCCAGUUCUUGUAGAAAAUAACUGCACCUCUGGUUGGCCUGUCACAGUAAUUUACAUAAUUUUUCUUUCAACCAAAAUGAUUGUUUUUGUAAAGUGCUUUAAGACAUUUUUUGUGAAUUAGUGCUGUAUGAAUAAACAGAAUUUAAUUGAAAAUGUGAAAAGCUAAAGGAAUUUGAAAGAAAGUCAACAGUUGAUUUGUAACGUCUGCAGUGAUGAAAUGUAUGGAAAAUAAAGGAAUUUCAAGUAAAUCUA
This is a non-coding RNA of Poecilia reticulata (guppy), 1247 nucleotides long. Lineage: Eukaryota; Metazoa; Chordata; Actinopteri; Cyprinodontiformes; Poeciliidae. The record is from RefSeq and is a predicted model, not a curated record.